AGAGUGCUGUAGGGGAGACUGGAAUUCCUGGUGUAGCGGUGGAAUGCGCAGAUAUCAGGAGGAACACCGAUGGCGAAGGCAGNUCCCUGGGCAGUAACUGACGCUGAGGAGCGAAAGCAUGGGGAGCGAACAGGAUUAGAUACCCUGGUAGUCCAUGCUGUAAACGGUGGGCGUUAGGUGUGGGGACCGGUUUGGUUUCUGUGCCGUAGCUAACGCAUUAAGCGCCCCGCCUGGGGAGUACGGCCGCAAGGCUAAAACUCAAAGGAAUUGACGGGGGCCCGCACAAGCGGCGGAGCAUGUGGAUUAAUUCGAUGCAACGCGAAGAACCUUACCUGGGUUUGACAUGCACCAGACGGUUGUAGAGAUACGUACCUCCCUUUGUGGUUGGUGUGCAGGUGGUGCAUGGUUGUCGUCAGCUCGUGUCGUGAGAUGUUGGGUUAAGUCCCGCAACGAGCGCAACCCUUGUCUUAUGUUGCCAGCACGUUUAGGGUGGGGACUCAUGAGAGACUGCCGGGGUUAACUCGGAGGAAGGUGGGGAUGACGUCAAAUCAUCAUGCCCAUUAUGCCCAGGGCUUCACACAUGCUACAAUGGUUAGUACAACGCGCUGCGAACCUGUGAGGGUGAGCGAAUCGCUGAAAGCUAAUCUCAGUUCGGAUUGGGGUCUGCAACUCGACCCCAUGAAGUCGGAGUCGCUAGUAAUCGCAGAUCAGCAAUGCUGCGGUGAAUACGUUCCCGGGCCUUGUACACACC
Molecule: ribosomal RNA, 751 nt
Filed under: uncultured bacterium
Lineage: Bacteria
Description: bacterial SSU rRNA
Rfam family: Bacterial small subunit ribosomal RNA
Source: RNAcentral